CAAGAAGAUGGAAUUAAGGUUUUGCCUCCUAAGUCACCAAAAAGUAUGCCUGAAUGGCAAAGAAUAGCUGAGUUUUAUGUUGAAAAACCUCAACUGAAAUUACUAGGAGAGAAGGCUAAACUUCAUCAGCCGUCUCUGAAAAUGUUUUGGAUGCCAGCUCCACAAAAGUUCUCAGCUCCCCUCUCUGUGAUGAAGAAAAUCUUAUUUCCAAAGUAUGANAGCAAUAUGAUUAGUGGAGUUAUAUGUGAAGACUUCUCUUGCGAUCUUCGGGACGAAGAAGAAGUGGAAUCUGAAUUUGACUUUGACUUUUCUAGUACUAAAGUUGGUGCAAGGUCUCAUUCCUGCCCGGGACGGUUAUUUGCUGAAAGUGAAACAUUACAGGAAAGUUUAAUUAAACGAUCUGCCAGUGCACCAGAAUUGUCUUGGCACAAAUAUAAAACAGGUUUGAAGAUUUCUGCAGAUUUCAAAACCACUAUGGAAGAGAUUGAUGUUAUGAAGAAGUACAUCCCUUCUCCAGAAAUUAAGACAAUAAUGCAGAAGCCUGAACUUCCUUCAAAAAUGUUUAAGAAAAUCUCUCCUAGUCCUAUGCUCCAGAAAAUUUCUCUUAAUAAAGAAAAGGAUUAUGCUGAAGAUACAGUAAAAGAGGAAAAAAAACCAGAAACAGCAUCUGGUCAACCUGUUCGUCAGACUGUUUCUGGUCUUGCUGAAGAAUCUCGAAAAGCUGGUAUUAAAUACAUUGUUUUUCCAAAGACAACACGAAGGAGGGUAUCAUCAAAAUCAGGAAAACAUGUUUCUCGUCGCAUAUUAGCAACAGUAUGUGACAAAUUAAAAGAACCUCCUAGGAUUCUUAAAAGGUUG
RNAcentral lists this long non-coding RNA (858 nucleotides) under Salvator merianae (Argentine black and white tegu). RNAcentral's name for it is "lncRNA (ENSSMRG00000012736.1)". The record is from RNAcentral. Lineage: Eukaryota; Metazoa; Chordata; Lepidosauria; Squamata; Teiidae.